UCUGCCGCCGCCGAAAUGUCCCGGCCGCUGUCGCCGCCGCGGGCCGCCUCCGGGGCCCCGGCUCGGCCCGCCACCGUGCUGGGCGCCAUGGAGAUGGGGCGCCGCAUGCACGCGUCCGCCAGCGCCGCGGCCGUGCGCGCCUUCCUGGAGCGCGGCCACACGGAGCUGGACACGGCCUUCGUGUACAGCGAAGGCCAGCCCUAGAGCAUCCUGGGCGGCUUGGGCCUCAGGCUGGGUGGCGGCGACUGCAGAGCGAAAAUUGCCACCAAGGCCAAUCCAUUGGGUGAGAAUUCACUGAAGCCUGACAGUGUCCGGGCCCAGCUGGAGACAUCCCUGAAACGGCUGCAGUGCCCCCGGGUGGACUGCUUUUACCUGCACCUACCUGACCACGACACCCCCGUGGAGGAGACGCUGCGUGCCUGCCACCAGCUGCACCAGGAGGGCAAGUUCGUGGAGCUUGGCCUCUCCAACUAUGCCGCCUGGGAGGUGGCCGAGAUCUGCACCCUCUGCAGGAGGAACGGCUGGUUCCUGCCCACUGUGUACCAGCCUCUGGGAGCAGGGUGGGCCUGGGGCUCUGAUGUCAGUCUCCCCGCAGGGGGCCUGCUGACGGGCAAGUAUAAGUAUGAGGACAAGGAUGGGAAAUAGCCUGUGUGCCGCUUCUUCGGGAAUAAAUGGGCUGAGAUCUACAGGAAUCGCUUCUGGAAGGAGCACUUCGAGGCCAUUGCCCUGGUGGAGAAGGCCCUGCAGGCCAUUGUGUGGCGGCAGCGCCCCCCGCAUGACCUCGGCUGCCCUCCAGUGGAUGUACCACCACUCCCAGCUGCAGGGUGCCCACAGGGACGCCGUCAUCCUGGGCAUGUCCAGCGUGGAGCAGCUGACACAGAACUUGGCGGCGACCAAGGAAGGGCCCCUGGAGCCGGCCGUGGUGCAGGCCUUCGAUCAAGCCUGGCACCUUCGAUUGUCGCCCACGAAUGUCCCAACUACUGCUAGGGCCAGUCCUGGCUUGAGGUGGCAGAGGGCCUCCAUCUGUCACUUCUUUUGACAAUCUCACCGUGGGCCUUAAAUGGCUUUAUUUGGCCUGUUCUUUCUCCACAGUGUCUGCUCACGAGCUGUUUAUUUCCUCCAUUCCCGCAAUGCUCCCAGCUGCCUUCACAAGAGAAGGCUGUGCUGUGACCCACUCGGGCGUGUCCUGCUUGGACAGAGCGGGCGCUAGACCCGGCUGCCCAGCCGCUCUGCUGCCUGUCCUUCCCAAGGGCUUGCGGGGAGGGGGCAGGAGCGCAGGCUUCCCAGCCUCCCGUCCAGAAUCCAGCCCGACCUCCGGACAGGGCAGCUGGAGGUGGCCCUCUCUCUGCUACGCACAAGAGAAAGGGCCAUAUGCCCUGAAGGUUUACCUACCAUUAGAGUCACUCCCAAGAAUAAAAGUCCCCAGGAUGCUGUGUAACAGUUUUCAUAUCUGCUCUGGGUUUCAGCAGUGGCUUUACUCAUCUUAGCAAAAGCAUCCUGUAAGACCCCCGGCCCUGGCUCGGGCAGGGGAUA
Molecule: non-coding RNA, 1533 nt
Organism: Leptonychotes weddellii (Weddell seal)
Lineage: Eukaryota; Metazoa; Chordata; Mammalia; Carnivora; Phocidae
Source: RefSeq, a predicted model, not a curated record